UGGCUCAGACGGUAGAGCGUCUGCCUACAAUGUGGGAGACCCAGGUUCAAUCCCUGG
RNAcentral lists this transfer RNA (57 nucleotides) under Ovis aries (sheep). It matches the Rfam family "tRNA", at positions 8 to 63 of the family's 71-position model. From Rfam's summary of the family: Transfer RNA (tRNA) molecules are approximately 80 nucleotides in length. Their secondary structure includes four short double-helical elements and three loops (D, anti-codon, and T loops). Lineage: Eukaryota; Metazoa; Chordata; Mammalia; Artiodactyla; Bovidae. The record is from Rfam by way of RNAcentral.